GAACGACUGCUAUAAGAGUCGCCUCAUCAUCAUCUGUGUCUCAGUGGCUGCCUUUAUCAUUCUGAUAAUCAGUUUUGUCGUCAUAUUGCUGUGCUUGAAGAGGAGCAAAUACUACGACCGAUGCUUCAGGUCACAUCUGUGAUGCUACAGAGCUACUGCGGGCUGUGCAGGGUAGGUGACCCUCUUCCAGCAAGACAUCACGGGGUUUGAUUCAUUCAUUUCAUUUGUAGUGUGUAGUAUCAGUACACAAUAUAUUUCAUGAUUUGUUGUAACAGUAUUAAAAAGUAA
Oreochromis niloticus (Nile tilapia) is the source of this 288-nucleotide long non-coding RNA. RefSeq lists it as uncharacterized. The transcript is spliced from 3 exons. NCBI's taxonomy places the organism in Eukaryota, Metazoa, Chordata, Actinopteri, Cichliformes, Cichlidae. The record is from RefSeq and is a predicted model, not a curated record.